Molecule: long non-coding RNA, 370 nt
Filed under: Homo sapiens (human)
Lineage: Eukaryota; Metazoa; Chordata; Mammalia; Primates; Hominidae
Description: non-protein coding lnc-HIST2H3PS2-12:1
Source: RNAcentral
CGCGGACCCGCAGAGCGGAGGAAGUCAAAAUAGUAGGAGCAUUACUCUUGUUUCCUUUUUCAAAAUCCCACACCUCAUCCUUCCUGCGACGCCAUGUCCACCAACAUUUGUAGUUUCAAGGACAGGUGCGUGUCCAUCCUGUGUUGCAAAUUCUGUAAACAAGUGCUCAGCUUGCUGGCUGAUACUGAAAUAGACCUUUUCUCUACAGACAUCCCUCCUACCAACGCAGUGGACUUCACUGGAAGAUGCUAUUUCACCAAAAUCUGCAAAUGUAAACUGAAGGACAUCGCAUGUUUAAAAUGUGGGAACAUUGUAGUUUAUCAUGUGAUUGUUCCAUGUAGUUCCUGUCUUCUUUCCUGCAACAACAGAC